RNAcentral lists this ribosomal RNA (510 nucleotides) under uncultured bacterium. Its description in RNAcentral is "partial 16S ribosomal RNA". It matches the Rfam family "Bacterial small subunit ribosomal RNA", at positions 28 to 507 of the family's 1533-position model. The record is from RNAcentral.
GACGAACGCUGGCGGCGUGCUUAACACAUGCAAGUCGAACGAAGAGCGAUGGAAGCUUGCUUCUAUCAAUCUUAGUGGCGAACGGGUGAGUAACGCGUAAUCAACCUGCCCUUCAGAGGGGGACAACAGUUGGAAACGACUGCUAAUACCGCAUACGAUCUAAUCUCGGCAUCGAGGAUAGAUGAAAGGUGGCCUCUACAUGUAAGCUAUCGCUGAAGGAGGGGAUUGCGUCUGAUUAGCUAGUUGGAGGGGUAACGGCCCACCAAGGCGAUGAUCAGUAGCCGGUCUGAGAGGAUGAACGGCCACAUUGGGACUGAGACACGGCCCAGACUCCUACGGGAGGCAGCAGUGGGGAAUCUUCCGCAAUAGACGAAAGUCUGACGGAGCAACGCCGCGUGAGUGAUGACGGCCUUCGGGUUGUAAAGCUCUGUUAAUCGGGACGAAAGGCCUUCUUGCGAAUAGUGAGAAGGAUUGACGGUACCGGAAUAGAAAGCCACGGCUAACUACGUG